UUUCCGUAGGUGAACCUGCGGAAGGAUCAUUCAUUAUAAAGUGUUUUAUGGCACUUUUUAAAAAUCCAUAUCCACCUUGUGUGCAAUGUUAGAUCUCGUCAAUCUUGGCGAGAUUUUUAUACAUCAACUCAUUUUUUAACUAAUUUGUCUGAAAAAUAUUAUGAAUACUUAAUUCAAAAUACAACUUUCAACAACGGAUCUCUUGGCUCUC
Molecule: unclassified non-coding RNA, 211 nt
Filed under: plant metagenome
Description: partial contains small subunit ribosomal RNA, internal transcribed spacer 1, and 5.8S ribosomal RNA
Source: RNAcentral